GACUGAUAAGAAUUGCCAGUUCCUACUGUAUGAUCUUUUUGCUGGACAAGUAGUUCCUUUUCCCAGCCUGGAGGUAUAUCAUCAAGUGAAUUAGAAUUGCCAGUUCCUACUGUGGGAUGUUUGUUCCUGGUAAGCAUUUCCUUUUCCCAUCCGGGUGGGAAUUCAUCUGCUGAAGCUAAUUCUCUGAUGAGAGAAGCCUGAUCAGAAUUGCCA
RNAcentral lists this unclassified non-coding RNA (213 nucleotides) under Hevea brasiliensis (rubber tree). Lineage: Eukaryota; Viridiplantae; Streptophyta; Magnoliopsida; Malpighiales; Euphorbiaceae. The record is from RNAcentral.